CUCCAUUUUGAAAAUAACUUGUUCCGCGGCUUCUGCAUUCAUCUCCUUGCAGAAUCCGCGAACCAGCAUCCCGAACGCGAACCCAAGCGCGUCACCAGAGAGAGCUUUCGCAUCUAUCAGGUCGUCAAUCAAAGCAAAAGCCAUCUCUGUCUUGCCGUUCAAACAAAGCCCUUCAAUAAAAGUCGUAUAAGCAAACACGCUGGAAGUCUCUCCGAGCAGCCUCGCGGCUCCGUCCAAAUCGCGUUUUCGACACAAGGCCUUAACCACAAUCGCGUAAGUGUAGUCGUUCGCGGACAGGCCAAGCUGGUUAAGCUGGCGGAAAAGAGCCACCACCAUAUCGGUUCUACCGAACUCGACCAAACGGUUCAUCAAGAAGUUGCAGGACUUGAUGCCAGGGACGCAGCCCAGGCGUCUGCUCUGGUACAAGACAUCUAUAGCUUCGUCGAACAUACCGAGGCCGACGUAGGCUUUAACCAAGGCGCCGGAGACUCGAGCCAAGAGGAAGUUAGAGGAGUCAGCACCUUCUUCUUCCCCGAUUGCUUCCAUCAGCUCCAUCACGCGGAUAAAGGUUUCAUCGCAUACUAAUGAAGGCUGUUAUAUACAAGAAGAGAGCUGGGUGGAGGUUCUGUGUCAAGGAGGUAGUAUGUCAGUGAAUCAUCCUUUUGUGACUGUUCCACGGACUUUCCGGGACUAGUUCGUUCGGGACGAGUUUAUCAGUGGAACGAAAAGAACAACCAAAUAAGCAAAAGGAAGAAGGCACUAUGAAAGAGGACGAAGAGAAGAACGUGACUGUUAAUGCACCGGUGCAAAAAAAAAAAUUUGUAUAUUCCAGCACGGUCCAAGAUUUGGAAACUCUACCAAACCAAUCGCCAACUUCGUCUGAAUGCAAAAUCUCUCUCUAUAUAUUGAUAAAAUCCAAACCGAUAACGAUUGCUCAAUAGUCAACAAGUGUUAAUCAUGAUAUCAGAUAUCAGAGACGAAGGUCUCAUGUCAGACCCAGUACAAAUAUCAAACAUAAGGAAAAGUGUAAAAAAAAACGUACACGGUAUGUGUACAUCCAGAACAUUUCCUCCCAACUCAGCUUCGGGUUCUUCAACUUUGUUAUACUCCCAAGCUCAUCACUGCCUUAAGAAGACGACCCUACGGAACAUAUCAUCUUCUAAAACGGUGAAUCAAGAUACGGUCAAGUGGAGGGGAGAUUUGUAUCCGUCAACAUCAACAGACUUGCCCCCAGCAUAUCCAUGGGUUUUGUGAGAUACAUACACGUAGAUCCUGGUUUUCCUGAAUAAUGCAAAGAUUAUGUAAACUACGAAAAAAGCGGAGUGCAAUAAUCCUGCAAGAAAUGAGCUCUCACAGUCAUAUAAGUGGAUAACAUGCAGCUAUUUCUGUGGCUCCUCCUCAGACUCUGGUUCCCAUACAGCAAGAGUACUCAUGCCCUGUUACAUUAAUAGACGAUUAGCAAUAAAACAAUAAGCAAUUUAAUCAGAAAAAUACCCCACUUCCCCUUACCGGUGUAGUCUUUUGAUUUCUCUCAAUGUUUUGAAUUCUACCUUUUUUUGCCUCCAAAUAAGAUGCAAAAUUAAAUAUAUAGAUCACUUGCAAAUCCAUGCUUGACCUUUCAAAUAUACACUCUUCAUUUCCGAUACUGAGAUCUCCUGGUCUUCAUAGCACGCUUAACUACAGCAAACAAAUGUUCAGGCAGUGUAAUAUCCUUUCCUGACAACUCGGUAACAAGUGCAUCUGUGCAUCCUUUGCGAUGACAAGCAGAUAUUAGAACAUUGUAGGUCACAUUAUCAGGCUUCAGCCCACACUCUAUCAUUCGAUAAAGGAUGUCGGUGGCGAUAUCUACGUUGCCAAUCUUGCAAUGGUGAUUCAUCAGAACAGUAUACAUCUUAACGUCUGGUUCUAUACAAGCAGCUCCUAACUUUUUCCAAAUCUGUUUCGCUUCUCCUCGAAGAAGGCAACCCAUCUCUCUAUCCAACCUCAGAUAACCAUGAAACAAAACCGUGUAUAUUAUCAAAUCAGGUUUUAUCCCUCUCUGCUUCAUCGCUUCGAAAAGAUCACUGGCUUUCUGCAACUCCAUUAGCCUAGAGUACGUCUGAAUCAUGAUCGUAUAAGUGACGAGAUCAGGGAGGUUUCCUCUCCCAACCAUUUUGUCAAACACCAGCUCGGCUUCCCUCACGCUAUCUACCUUACUUAUCAUUUUACCGUACAUGCUCCUCGCGGGUUCGACUCCAUAAGCCCACAUCCUUUUCAGCACCCUCAGAGCUUUGCCCUGACAAUUCUUAUUAUCCUCGUCGCAGAGAGCGGUAAACAGUUUAAAGCACAGGUUCUUGGGCAGAGGAGAGUUUAGCUCAACAAAUUUUCUAUAGGCGUCUUUAGCAAGGCCGGAAUCACAAUAGCCUUUCACCAAGCUGGCGUAAUUCUCCGGGCACUUGUCUUCAAGACUCGUGAAGAACUCUCUGGCUUCUUCUAAUUUACCCGCGGAACAGAGGCCGUCGAUGAUCACACUGUGGGUCACAGCAGUGGGCUCUACACCUUCAUUUCUCAUAGCUUUGUAAAUCUCAACCGCCUUUUCGCUAUGACCGUUCCUGGCGAGCCCACCGGCAAUCACGUUGUACGUGAUCACAUCAGGAUCCGUGCCCUUUGCUCUCAUCUCAUCAAACAAAUCGAGCGCAUCGGCGAAUCUGCCUUGAAGGCAGUAGCCGUCGAUCAGAGUCGUGUAGUUGACGACAUCAGGAACCAUUCCUUUAUCCAUCAUCUCUUCGAGCAGCUUCAUAGCUUCGUCCACUCUCUCGAGCUUGGUAAGAGCUUCGAACGCGGCGUUGUAACACACCUCGUCCAGGAAAACAUCCAUCUCUUUGAACUCUUGGAACCUUUUCAACGCUUCCAGCCACAUCGCGGACUCACGCAACGCUCCCAUCUUACAGUAGCAAUCGAGGAUCGAACUCACGAUCACGCAGUUGAUCCUCAGUCCCUUUUGCAGCAUCGCAUCCACGAUUCUCAAAGCUUUAUCCAACUCCAAGCUUUUGCAGUACAAAUCGAUUAUCACCGAGCAAGCGUAAACAUCAGGACCGAUACCAAACUCCUCCAUUUUGAAAAUAACUUGUUCCGCGGCUUCUGCAUUCAUCUCCUUGCAGAAUCCGCGAACCAGCAUCCCGAACGCGAACCCAAGCGCGUCACCAGAGAGAGCUUUCGCAUCUAUCAGGUCGUCAAUCAAAGCAAAAGCCAUCUCUGUCUUGCCGUUCAAACAAAGCCCUUCAAUAAAAGUCGUAUAAGCAAACACGCUGGAAGUCUCUCCGAGCAGCCUCGCGGCUCCGUCCAAAUCGCG
Molecule: long non-coding RNA, 3331 nt
Filed under: Brassica napus (rape)
Lineage: Eukaryota; Viridiplantae; Streptophyta; Magnoliopsida; Brassicales; Brassicaceae
Description: long non-coding RNA (BNAP_LNC015457)
Source: RNAcentral